AUAUAUUGUUAGUAGCGGACGGGUGAGUAAUGCAUGAGAACCUGCCCUUCAGGAGGGGACAACAGUUGGAAACGGCUGCUAACUACCCCAUAUGCCGAGAGGUGAAAGGAGCGAUCCGCUGAAGGAGUGGCUCAUGUCCUAUCAGCUAGUUGGUGAGGUAAGUGCUCACCAAGGCGAUGACGGGUAGCCGGCCUGAGAGGGCGACCGGCCACACUGGAACUGAGAUACGGUCCAGACUCCUACGGGGAGGCAGCAGGUGGGGAAUAUUGGGCAAUGGGGACGGAAGCCUGACCCAGCGACGCCGCGUGAGGGAAGAAGGCCUUUGGGUCGUAAACCUCUGUUGUAUGGGAAGAAGGAAGUGACGGUACCAUACGAGGAAGUCCCGGCUAACUACGUGCCAGCCGCAGC
RNAcentral lists this ribosomal RNA (408 nucleotides) under uncultured bacterium. Its description in RNAcentral is "bacterial SSU rRNA". It matches the Rfam family "Bacterial small subunit ribosomal RNA", at positions 84 to 518 of the family's 1533-position model. The record is from RNAcentral.